RNAcentral lists this ribosomal RNA (772 nucleotides) under uncultured fungus. RNAcentral's name for it is "eukaryotic LSU rRNA". It matches the Rfam family "Eukaryotic large subunit ribosomal RNA", at positions 30 to 821 of the family's 3401-position model. Lineage: Eukaryota; Fungi. The record is from RNAcentral.
GAACUUAAGCAUAUCAAUAAGCGGAGGAAAAGAAACUAACAAGGAUUCCCCUAGUAACGGCGAGUGAAGCGGGAAGAGCUCAAAUUUGAAAUCUGGCGGUCUCGCGGCCGUCCGAGUUGUAGUCUAGAGAGGCGUUAUCCGCGGCGGACCACGUACAAGUCCUUUGGGAUGCGGCGUCAUAGAGGGUGAGAAUCCCGUCCAUGACGUGGACUACCGUCGCUUUGCGUUGCGCCUUCGAAGAGUCGAGUUGUUUGGGAAUGCAGCUCAAAACGGGUGGUAAAUUCCAUCUAAAGCUAAAUAUUGGCGAGAGACCGAUAGCGAACAAGUACCGUGAGGGAAAGAUGAAAAGAACUUUGGAAAGAGAGUUAAACAGUACGUGAAAUUGCUGAAAGGGAAACGCUUGAAGUCAGUCGCGUCUUCGAGGAUUCAGCUCGACUUUUGUCGGGCGCACUUCCUCCGGGGACGGGCCAGCGUCGGUUUCGGGCGGGGAAGAAGGAUGAGGGGAAUGUGGCACCUUUGGGUGUGUUAUAGCCUCUUGUCGGACGCCUCGCUCGGGACCGAGGACCGCUUUAAUAGGAUGCUGGCGUAAUGGCUUUAAGCGACCCGUCUUGAAACACGGACCAAGGAGUCUAACAUGCUCGCGAGUGUUCGGGUGAAAAACCCUUGCGCGUAAUGAAAGUGAAAAGUUGGGACGCCUUCUCGGCGGCACCGACGCCCGACCCUGACGUUCUCCGACGGGUUUGAGGUAGAGCGAGUAUGCUGGGACCCGAAA